Molecule: long non-coding RNA, 591 nt
Organism: Hyla sarda
Lineage: Eukaryota; Metazoa; Chordata; Amphibia; Anura; Hylidae
Exons: 3
Source: RefSeq, a predicted model, not a curated record
GAUUUUAUCUGAUCUCCAUUCCUUUUGUAUCCUGCGCCACAUGGAUCCGGCGUUCUCCUUGAAGCCAGACCGAUUUAACCGUAGAGGUGCAGGCUUAUACUGCAAGACCCACAUGUUGACAUCAUGUGCAGAGGGAAGGGUCCCACUCUGAUGCUCCCAUUGAAAGCUGCAGAGGCGCGUGGUGCACUAGCAAUAUGUCACCUGUAUUGUAGCAAAGAAUACAUCCAGUGAUGCGUCGGCGGCAGGGUAUAUUUUUUAAACUCCUGGGCAACUUCAGAGCCUGGGACUUGCCCUCAGACUAUCGCAAUCUGGAUACGUAUUUGUUGGAAGUCCCAGGCAAGUCAAUGGGAUGUAUGCUUUCAAGCUAGUUUUUAGUAGAGUAACUUAACAGCUAUAAACAGUUUUAAAGCAGUACAAUAAUAAAGCAAUAUCAAAAAGUGUACAGAACUAGUACAAGUAACAUGGUGCACAAAAGAAGGCGCUCUACGGCAACCAGUAGUGUCAAUCAAGAAGCAGACAAGCCACUUUUCCCACGAAGAUAAACACAUCUAAACCUUUAUGUGAAAUAAAAAAUAUUAGUAAACACAAGUA